RNA transcript from Andrographis paniculata, 5096 nucleotides. It is a transcript of the gene named late blight resistance protein R1-A-like, with no coding region annotated. The record is from RefSeq and is a predicted model, not a curated record. The transcript is spliced from 4 exons. Lineage: Eukaryota; Viridiplantae; Streptophyta; Magnoliopsida; Lamiales; Acanthaceae.
UCUUUCUCUCAUAGUCUUCAUCUUCAUCUGUGUUUUCAAUCUUCAAUACCUUAGAGACAUGGCUGUUGCUGCUUACGCAUCCUUGGUUUCUCUCACUCAUGUCCUCGACAAUCUCCAUUAUCGUGCACGCUUUGAUGUCCCUCGUGCUGACAUCAAACAAGUCGAAGCUCUUAAAAAAAAUGUCAACUCCUUGCUGGAGUUUGUCGAGCUUCAUUCUGGAAGGAAGUGCCCCGAGCUUCGAGGCUUGUGGAGGCAAAUGGCUGAGGCUGCAACAGAAGCAGAAGGUGCCAUGAACUUCCACGUAUCCAAUCUACUCUAUGCCAACUCUCAAGGAGAAAGUGAUACUUUAAACUUCUCAGAUUUCUUUGAAGAAAUGGAGACACUGAUCCAAAAGUUUGCUAGCAUCGAAAAAGAGUUUCCAAUGAUCGAAGAAGAAGGAGAAGAUGCUCAAGCUCAAACGCAACCCAAUGCUUCUGUUACUGCUGGUGGCUCGUCUGCAGCUGCUGCGUAUGUCAGCAGUGUUGUCGUGGGACUGGAUGAGCAUGUGAACAUUCUCAGGGACAAGCUCAUCAGAGGUAAAUCUAAUCUCGAAAUCCUCUCAAUUGUCGGAAUGGGAGGUAUUGGUAAGACCACUUUGGCUAAAAGUCUCUUUGAUGAUUUAUGUGUCAUCGAUCACUUUGAUUUACGGAUUUGGCUUUCCAUAUCGCAACAUUAUAGUGCUGAACAAAUCCUUAAAGUUGGUCUUGAAGAAAAGGCAGGAGAAAAUGAAACAUGUGAAAGUUUAGAUGAGUUGGGAAUUAGAUUCUACCAAAAGUUAUUUGGUAGAAGGUAUUUGGUUGUUAUGGAUGAUAUGUGGUCAACUGGAGCUUGGCAUGAUUUACGGAGGUACUUUCCCAACACUGGAGAUGGCAGUCGUAUUUUGUUAACAACUAGACUCUCAAACAUGGCUGCUUCUUUGGCUUCUCAUGAUCCAUAUCUUUUAACAUUUUUAAAUGAGAACCAAAGUUGGAGUUUAUUUUGUCAAAGUGCUUUCUCCCAAAAGGAUUGCCCAUUCGGUCAUUUAGAAAAGCUUGCAAAGGAAAUUGCAAAAUGUUGCAGAGGACUUCCAUUAGAAAUUGUUGUUGUGGGUCGAUUGCUUGCAAACUCUGAAAGGAGGGUAAAAUAUUGGGAGUAUGUUCUAGAUCAUAUUAGCUCAUUCGCUAAUUUGGGAGAUGAUGAGCAUUGUAGGAAAAUACUAUCUUUAAGUUAUGAGAGUUUACCUAUUCAUCUCCAACCCUGUUUUUUAUAUUUGAGAGUUUUUCCGGAAGAUAGUUCGAUUGCAGUUUCGGAGGUAGUAGAUUUCUGGAUUGCUGAAGGAUUCAUUAAAUCAAUGAGUUUUAGAAGUUUGGAAGAUAUUGCAAGAGAGUACGUUGAAAGUCUCAUUGAUAGAAAUCUAAUAUUUGAUCGAGGUGAAUCUCAGUGCGGCAUUCAUGAUCUUUUACGAGAUCUUUGCUUAAGGGAGUCAAAAGAUGAAUGUUUUCUCCAAUUACCUAGAAGCCAAAGUGUUAAAAAAAGGUUUAUAAAAGUUGUGCACUGUAAUCUUUGUCUAGAUAUACUGAUAAACAAAGAAGGAAUGCAUAUUGGGCGAUCAUCUUAUACAUUUGGAUUAUCAUCACAAGUUAAUUCUUUUGUAUGUGAUGCUUGCAUGAAGAUGUAUUUGCACAUUAAAAGACUUAAUUUGGUGAAGAUUUCAGAGUACGAUGACUGUUUUGACACAGAAAUUUUGCAUCCAAUUGAAGUGCAUCGUGUCUAUCUAGAGGAGGUGAAAUUAUUUAUUCCUUCAACAUUGAAGUUACUUUGGAACCUUCAAAGUUUAAGAAUUUAUUUAAGCCCUUCACUUAAGGAAUUGCCUCAAGAUAUAUGGGAGAUGCCACAGCUCAGAGAGAUUGAAGUUUCAGGAGGAAUUCUACCUGAUCCUAUUGCCACCGAUAUUGAGGGGGAGAAUUUUCUUGUCCUAAAUGACCUCCACACCAUAGAUGGAAUAUACAAUUUCAAGUGUACCAAGGCAAUCAUUGAUCGGAUCCCAAGUUUGAGGAAAUUGAAUGUUUCUUAUGAAGAUGGAUCUAAGGGGGGAGUAAAACCAUCGAACUUUUCUCUGUGUAAUCUUGAUAAACUAGAGAAACUUGAAUCUUUAAUGAUUAGAAAUUACUCGGAGAACAUGACCUUUCCUAAUUCUCUCAAAGAAUUAUCUUUGUACAAUUGUAGAAUGGCAUGGGAGGAUAUGUCAAUUGUUGGUUCAUUGCCGAGUCUUGAACAUCUUCAUAUAUAUGGUGAUGUGGAAGGGUCCGAGUGGGAGCCUGUUCAAGGGGAAUUUCUUAGCCUGAAAGAAUUGCUCAUUGGCAAAAAUGAUUUAGUGUGUUGGCGAGCUGAAUCGGUGCACUUCCCUAUUCUUGAGAGCCUUCAACUUACUGAAUUACGUUUAUUGGAGGAGAUCCCCAUGGGCAUUGGAGAUGUACCUACAUUGCAAUCAAUUAUUGUGGACUAUUGCCGCGAGUCUGUCAUUGAUUCGGCAAAGGAAAUAUGGAAGGAGCAGCUUGAGUGUGAAAAUGGGACUAGAAUUGACGUCAUAGAUAGAGAACUGUCCGUCCGAUAUCAAGUUGGUACUUACACUGCAAGAAUGACAGGGGCUGGUUGUCAAACAUUUGCUUAUUCAAAAUAUCUUUGGGAAAGUCUCGACAAGGUUGUUCGACAUGGCAGCCACACUCUAAACACAAAACAUAUGGAAGCUGUGGAGGAAGCCAUACAUUUUUUCAAAGUUUUUCACCCAAGGAAGAGCCAAGAAAUGGAAAGUUUGCUUCGCGAAAUGGCCCUAGCUACGCAUAAAGCGAAUGUUGUGAUAGAUAGACUACGCUCGAAAACUUUGAUGCCAAUACUUGGUAAGUGCAUCCGUGUAGAUGUGGAAAGACUGUUGGAAAUAAUAGUCUUCAUAAGAAAGGCGUUGGCGUUGGCGGUGGCUAAAGAGGAAGGGAAAGAAGGCGAGGAAAUUGAUGUUUCCGAUGAUGAUGCCACAUCCUAUGAUAUCAACUCAUUGACAAUUUUGAAGGAAAUGUUUGUUACUGAUGAAGAUUUGAGGGAGUAUCAAAUUGGUUCUGUCACUGCCACAAUGUCCGAGGCUGCUAGUUUAGUUUGGUCUGAUUUAGCAUGCGUCUUGGGGGUCCUCCGGAAGGCUUAUGAACUCGGCUGCCAUCACCUAAACACAGAACAAGUGGACAAUGUGAAGGACUUCAUCCAUUUACUGCAAGAAGUUGUUGAAGUUUAUCCUCAAAGUAUACACCAUAUAACCAAACCUCUUUUCCGUUUAGCAAUAAUUGAUCUUUUCAAGGCAGCAGAGCAACUGAAUUCGAAACAUCUUUGGCAACAAUCACUGGUAGAUGCAACUGUUGAAGACCUCUUAUCCUUCUCCAGGGAUGUGGAAAAUUUGUUACGAAAGUCAAAAUACAUCAAAAGAAGGUUAAUAAGGCCUCAAAGUGAAGAUAGCUCACAAGGAAAUACUUGACGAGGCUGCUUUACAAGGCCGCAAUUUUCUAGACAGAAAACAUGUCAAAGCCAUGGAGAAAGACACCCAUUGAGUAAAAGCCAAGAAAUGGAAAGUCUGUUGACAGAAACAGCUAAGGCUGUCCACACUAAGACAUUCGCGGCGAUGUGAAAAGAUUGUUGGAAAAGAUCAACUUCAUAAAAAGGGCAUUGUUGGUGGCGAAAGAGAAUGAGCAAGAUGAAGAUAUUAGUGAUAAUGAUCCAGCAUCUUCAACUCAUUGGAAAUUAUAAUAGCAAAUUGGUUUCAUCAAUGCAUCAAUGGAGAGCUUAUAAAUUCAAAGCAUUUCGGGAAACACUCUCCAGAAGAUAUUCUCAAAAUAGUGACAAGAAAAAAAAAUGGAAACAACCAUAAUUAGCCACCAGAGAAAAUCCAAACGGUAGCUAAAUUCCGGGAGAAGGCUAGAGAAGUAUCUUGGUUGGCCUGAGGAUGUCGACGAGAUAUUGAGAGAGUGUCAAAGCCAAUUCGUGGAGGGCUGCUUGGAUUUCCCCACAAAUUUUUGAUUUUGAAAAGCACUGGCAGAAAUAGUCACAAUCCUUUCCUCACUUUCGGGAGCAGCAGAGGAUUCAUCCUGCGUGAUUUCUCCGGAUACGUGCGGCGCUGAAGUUUCAACGGCAGUUCCUUUCGCCUUCGACAUUGUGGUUUCGUCUGGCGAUGGUAACUUCCUAUUCCUCAACUGCAUAGAAGUCCAUUGGAUGUGUCUGUUAUCACUAAAAUUUCGUCGAUAACGGCCGGAUGAGUUGGGCCUGGUGAAAUCGACGUGAAUUGGGUUCCUGGUCUACUCAAGAAAAUAUCCGGUCUAGUCUAGCAACAAAAAUUAAUCAUCUAGGAAUUGAAUUACUGGAAACAAAAGAUGCUGAAGUAAUGAUGAAUCAAGCUAGGUUUUUUGGCUGGUUCGGAUGGUUCUCUUGACUCUUGCUUUUCCUUUUUUUUAUAUUAUUCUCAAGAUUUUCUUCACUCUCCCCCUAUUAUAGGAACAAAGAUGAUCUCUUGGGUAUCCGAUCAAAAAAAAAAAAAAAAAGAUGAUCUCUUGGGUAUGAUUGUUUCAUUAGGGAUCGGCUAAUGGUCUGGGGAGUGAACUUGUGAUCAUGCGGUCAUGGGUUUAAACCCAAUGCCUCUAGGUCCACCUGCCACACAUUCGUCUAGUGUGACUUGCCUUGUGGGCCUAGUUUGUAGUGUAUAAGGUUGGUUUGGUUAUGGGUAACUGCGCAUACCAUGUUAAAAAAAAAAAAAGAAAAAAGAGGUCUGAUGUAUGGGGAGUGAACUUGUAAUCGUGGGGUUUAAACCCUAACGCCUCCAGGUCGACCUCAUGACUUGUCUUGUCAGACUUAGUUUCAGCAUGUUAGGUUCGGCUUUGCACUUUUGGCAGCGAUUGCAGAUUUCCACGUUAUUAAAAAAAAAUGAUCUCUUGGGCCGAUCUGACUUUGGGCUUCCUUUUAUCCGUAAUGGGCUUUUAUUUCUGGGCAAAGCCUUGGGAAAUUCUUGGACCAAUCCCGUUUUGGGACGCUCUUGCCCGUGUAAAAAU